This 28-nucleotide small RNA is filed under the name Bombyx mori (domestic silkworm). RNAcentral's name for it is "piRNA piR-bmo-1826868". Lineage: Eukaryota; Metazoa; Arthropoda; Insecta; Lepidoptera; Bombycidae. The record is from RNAcentral.
UCCAUCUAAGGCUAAAUAUGACCGCGAG